CAUUUGGAAGGUUUUUGGUUUAAGAUAGAUUUUUUCCCUUACUUUUAAGUCUAUCAGCUGAAACAAGGGCUUCGGGAACGAGUGCAUAACGCGUGGAAUCAGCCGAAAUGUUCGGGCCAAAUCUAAAGUAAGCUAAAAAGCAUUGUUAAUGAGCCUGCGUAGUAUUAGGUAGUUGGUCAGUUAAAGGCUGACCAAGCCAAUGAUGCAUAGGUGGUUUGCCACAAUGGAACUGAGACACGGCCCGGACUCCCACGGGGGGCUACAGUGGGGAAUCUUGAACAAUGGGAGAAAGUCCGAUCCAGCAAUAUCGUGUAAGUAAAGAAGGGAAAUGCCGCCUGUAAAGCUCUUUCGUCAAGUGAGCAAUCAUGAAAGGACUCAAAGAAGAAGCCCCAGCUAAAUCCGUGCCAGCAGCUGCGGUAAGACGAGGGGGUAAGUGUUCUUUCGAAUGACUGGGCGUAAAGGGCACGUAAGCGGUCAAUCGGUGAUGCAUGGCUAUCGUUAUCUCGUGUCAUGAGAUGUUUGGUAAAGUCCUAUAACGAGUUAAACCCUCGUUUUGUAUUACUGAGACAUGCGCCUAAGGAGAAAGUCUUUGCAACCUGAAGUGAGCCGAGGAUCCGAGUGAUGUGUCAGCGCUACUAAUUGAGUGCCAGCACCUAGCUGUACUGUCAGUAUGAAAGCUGGUGCCUUUCGAAGCACUUUCUCUUUUUAGUUAGCAUUGUUUUAUUAUUGCAUCUACUGCGCUUGACUAAUAAGAUAGAAAGGGCCUUUCUAGCAUGUUUAGUAAAGUUAAUUUUUUGACCUUAUCUUGCAGGUGAAGAUGACAUCGAGUUGACGGCAGAUAAAGAGUCGGCAUUCAGGAGAGCCACCCGGUGGUGUGGUAAAUAGUGGGUUUAGUACGCCCAGCCCAAACAAACAGCUUCGAAACAAACAAAAAGGUGUGUGCCGCAAUCACGAAGGACUACCAGUAAUAUACUGGAGGAAAGUGGGGACGAUGUCAAGUCCUCAUGGCCCUUAUAUGCUGGGCAACACACGUGCUACAUUGACAAUUACAAUGGGAAGCAAGGCUGUAAGGCUGAGCAUAUCUGGAAAGAUUGCCUCAAUUUGGAUUGUUCUCUGCAACUCGGGAACAUAAAGUUUGAAUCACUAGUAAUUGCGGAACAACAUACCGCGGUGAAUAUGUGCCCGGGCCCUAAACACAUAGCCCGUCACACCCUGGGAAUUGGUUCACCCGAAGCAUCGGACCAAUGAUCACCCAUGACUUCUGUAGAAACAAAGUCCUUUGGUGGUCUUAUUGGAGCACACUACGGUGGGGUCUUCGACUGGGGUGAAGUCGUAAUAAGGUAGCCGUAGGGGAACCUAUGGCUGGAUUGAAUCGUUC
RNAcentral lists this ribosomal RNA (1378 nucleotides) under Solanum lycopersicum (tomato). Its description in RNAcentral is "Bacterial small subunit ribosomal RNA". It matches the Rfam family "Bacterial small subunit ribosomal RNA". The record is from Rfam by way of RNAcentral. Lineage: Eukaryota; Viridiplantae; Streptophyta; Magnoliopsida; Solanales; Solanaceae.